RNAcentral lists this ribosomal RNA (459 nucleotides) under uncultured bacterium. RNAcentral describes it as "partial 16S ribosomal RNA". It matches the Rfam family "Bacterial small subunit ribosomal RNA", at positions 338 to 795 of the family's 1533-position model. The record is from RNAcentral.
CCUACGGGUGGCUGCAGUGAGGAAUAUUGGUCAAUGGCCGAGAGGCUGAACCAGCCAAGUCGCGUGAGGGAUGACGGCCCUACGGGUUGUAAACCUCUUUUGUCGGGGAGCAAAGAGAGUCACGUGUGGCUCAUUGAGAGUACCCGAAGAAAAAGCAUCGGCUAACUCCGUGCCAGCAGCCGCGGUAAUACGGAGGAUGCGAGCGUUAGCCGGAUUUAUUGGGUUUAAAGGGUGCGCAGGCGGAGGUGCAAGUCAGUGGUCAAAUUGCGGGGCUCAACCCCGUACUGCCGUUGAAACUGCAUCCCUAGAGUGCGCGAGAGGUAUGCGGAAUGCGAGGUGUAGCGGUGAAAUGCAUAGAUAUCACGAAGAACUCCGAUUGCGAAGGCAGCAUACCGGCGCGCAACUGACGCGCAUGCACGAAAGCGUGGGUAUCGAACAGGAUUAGAUACCCGUGUAGUC